AACCGUCAACAGGCUGACGAUUGGCUUUGGGAUACUAUUCCCAACACCAGCCAGGUCACUACUCCGAGCUUCUAUAAUAACAAAUCUCCAUCCGAGCUUCCAUGACAACCGAUCUUCAACCGAGCUUCUACAAUAAGCGACCUCCUUUCAGCCUUCUACAAGAACUGAACUCCGUCUGAACUUCUAUAGCGGAUAGAUUCCGGAUGAACUUCUACAACAGAUGGGCUCCAGCAGCUAGAUUUCUACAACGACCGACUGCCUCCAAUGUCUGUCGUACCUCCCCAGCCA
This 288-nucleotide long non-coding RNA is filed under the name Elaeis guineensis (African oil palm). RNAcentral's name for it is "long non-coding RNA (EGUI_LNC067716)". Lineage: Eukaryota; Viridiplantae; Streptophyta; Magnoliopsida; Arecales; Arecaceae. The record is from RNAcentral.